Dichanthelium oligosanthes is the source of this 139-nucleotide small nucleolar RNA. It matches the Rfam family "Small nucleolar RNA Z247". Rfam says of the family: Z247 is a member of the C/D class of snoRNA which contain the C (UGAUGA) and D (CUGA) box motifs. The record is from Rfam. Lineage: Eukaryota; Viridiplantae; Streptophyta; Magnoliopsida; Poales; Poaceae.
CCCCUUGAUGAUGAAGAAUUGGUGAUGUAUAUCUGCAAUGGUCUAGAUCCAGAGUUUAAUCCUUUAGUCUCUGCUCUUAUAACUAGGGUUGAACCUGUCACCCCCACUGAAUUGUACUCACAAUUACUAAGCUUUGAGA